Molecule: ribosomal RNA, 253 nt
Filed under: uncultured bacterium
Lineage: Bacteria
Description: partial 16S ribosomal RNA
Rfam family: Bacterial small subunit ribosomal RNA
Source: RNAcentral
UACGGGGGGGGCAAGCGUUGUUCGGAAUUACUGGGCGUAAAGGGCUCGUAGGCGGCCAACUAAGUCGGACGUGAAAUCCCUCGGCUUAACCGGGGAACUGCGUCCGAUACUGGAUGGCUUGAGUUCGGGAGAGGGAUGCGGAAUUCCAGGUGUAGCGGUGGAAUGCGUAGAGAUCCGGAAGAACACCGGUGGCGAAGGCGGUUAGCUGGGCAGUUGCUGACACUGAGGCGCGACAGCGUGGGGAGCAAACAGG